CACACACACACACACACACACACACACACACACACUUGUCUUUUUGGAAUGAAAGAGGGAGUCUAGUGGGUGCUCCAAUUGUCUCUUACCUGCUCCAGCAAUUUCCAUCAUUUCUGGGCGGGUGCUGGAAGUAGCGGCCCGAUUGGCGAUUCACUCCAGUACCCCAUCUGGCAUUUCGUGUUCAUUUCUUUGCCGCUUGCCAAAACAAGAACAUACACACAUUGAUUUAGAGUGCUUGUUUGGCAUUUAGAUAAUUGAAAUAGCCACAAUACUCAUUAUGGCCCCAUUAUAUUACCUUUAUGAAAAUAUUUCCUUAUACCCUCAUUAUUUGUUAACAAGCAUAUGAAAGAGAGCUUCGGUAUUUUUUCCUUGUGCGUAUGUCUCCACGGGUUUGUCCUUGUUGCUAUACAAACGACCUGCGCAAAUGUAAAUUUUUCACAUUGUGCAUGCUUUGCCAUCCCUCUGUGAUCCUCGCUGUGCGUUUGCAACAUGAUACCGCCGCGCUUAUUUCUGUGUGCGUUUGUCUAAAAAGGAAUGAAACUGACUCUGAUCUUAUCCAGCUUAAGACAAAUACGCUGUUCCGCCUGAAGACAUUGUCAUGGAAACAAACCAGUUUCCCUGGGUACCAGAGAGAAGGCCAAAUUCAAACUCUACAGAUGGAGGCAGAAGGGAAGGAGAGAUAUGAGCAAAAAGACACACGAAAAGUUAAGAUUUAGCACAGUGGCAGGAGGCGCUUUUCUCAUUACUUUACCUAAAAUGAAAGCCAGAGGUAUUUAAAAGACUCCUAAGUGUGACGAAAACGCAUUUAGAACAUGCAAAUCUGCUAUUAUGCAAAAGGUUUUGUUGUCAUUAAUGCUAGUUUAAUGUAUUUAAAACAUCCAUUAUUAAUGCCAUGUAUUCACGCUCUGCAUACCAAUAAUAUUGUUGACCAAUUAAAUGAACCCUUGAUGUCCACAUCUGAUCUAGAGAUUUGAUGUGGGGGAAAAAGAGGACAGAGAAACAUUUGUUUACUGCAACUGGUAUCAAUUUAACUACUAUGAAACACAUUUUUCUUACAUUGUGUAGCUUUUUUUCACUGAGAUGAACCUCCAUGCUGUUAUUGGUUGACACAGAGUUAAGGACCUCAUACUUGACACCCCUUCUAAAAACACUUAUGAUUGCCUGUUUUAAUAGUUCAAACUCCAAAUAUACCUUAAUAACCAUUAAUAAGCACAGUAGAAACCAUGAAACCACAGAAACUACUGUCUACAGUCUUCCUCAUCUCCGCUCUGGGCAUAGCAAGUCUAGUAGCAUCAGUAUUUUAGCUUCCCAAUCUGCAUUUUCUUUUGAAUAUUUUGGACAAACUCAGUGACUUUUCUGCAAUAAUUUGGAUUUACUUUGCACAGAAAAGUCCACAAAUAGGUGAAUCCACAAAUAGCUCCUACAUAAAAGUUCAGUGGUAUUGAUUGGAUAUUGUAAUAUAAUUGAUACCGACCAUUAGAAAUAUGAUGAUAGAGGAAGUAGUUUUGAAUCCCAACAAAAAACGAAGAACUAACAUUUAUGAAUGUUUAAGUAAUAUUCACUGAGUAAAAAGUUUCACACUAAAGAGUUGCGUUGUUAGCACUUCCUUGCUGUGUUGAUGUAUUGUUAAUUUGCUGAUUAUAAAAAGCAAUACUUUUGAUUCUGAAACCAGUCAUUUAUCGGUCAAGGCUGGUCAGGCAGAAAAAAAUUGGUCUGCCUGAUGUUUCCCCUCUAUUCUCAACUGGCUUCCUUAUUUCUAUUUUCUGCUUUUAAUAAAUUAAUUGGUUUAAAAUGGCAACAAAUGGCAAUCUAAAAAGACAAACUAAAAUCACACAAUCUGUGGUGUAAAAUAACGAGAGUCAAGUCAAAUCUAAGUAAAACUAAAAAGGAUCAACUAAAGCUGGAGAAUGUUGGCAAAAAGAUAAUUAAAGCUUAAUGAAUAUCUUAAAUCAAGAAGACAUAUAUAAAGUUUCUUCAGAUUUCUAUUUGGAUCGAUUUCCAUUUCUUUUUCCCAAAGACUGUUAUGCAUAAAAGAUAUAAAUGUACUUUUGAAUCCAACAGAAAUUGAAGAAAUUAAGAAAAUGAAUCCAAUUGAUAAAUCAAAGCAUAGUCCCCUGACCUGCAUCAGAUUUCUUAUUUAACCUAAAAGGUUCUCGCUGUUCAAACAGUUUUGAUGCACUUAACGAAUAGAAAAGCUGGUCCAGGUAAAAAUGGCCAGUUCUGAUCUCUAUUUUUUCCAAUCAUAUAAAUUCUUUUGUACUGAUUUGUUACUCCUCAUCUUACUUUCUGCAACCCGUGUGGCGUCUUAUACAGGAAUUUAAAGGUGCUACACUCAAACAAGCUAGCCUUCCCAAUAUCACUCAGUGAAAGGACAUUGUAAAUCAGAACAAAACCUGUGACAAUACAAUAAAGGAAUUUGAUUUAAAAAGAAAAGAAAAGAAAAGCAGUUCACACAAUGUCCAAUGUAGCUGAUUUGAACAUGGUCAUUACUGAAUACAUUUUUCCAUGUAGAUGCAUAAUAAUGACACCACCUUUGCAUCCUAAUGGUGUCAGUUCCCCCAGUUAUCACAGUCUGCUUGUUCACAGUCCACAUGGUUGUCCAGGAACCACGACUCCACCCGAGACGUAAAACAACAAAAAAUAAACACAUCAA
Long non-coding RNA from Poecilia latipinna (sailfin molly), 2653 nucleotides. RefSeq lists it as uncharacterized. The record is from RefSeq and is a predicted model, not a curated record. NCBI's taxonomy places the organism in Eukaryota, Metazoa, Chordata, Actinopteri, Cyprinodontiformes, Poeciliidae. The transcript is spliced from 2 exons.